CAGUCGCCACGGUAAUACGGAGGGUGCAAGCGUUAAUCGGAAUUACUGGGCGUAAAGCGUGCGUAGGCGGUUCGUUAAGUCUGUUGUGAAAGCCCCGGGCUCAACCUGGGAAUGGCAAUGGAUACUGGCGAGCUAGAGUGUGUCAGAGGAUGGUGGAAUUCCCGGUGUAGCGGUGAAAUGCGUAGAGAUCGGGAGGAACAUCAGUGGCGAAGGCGGCCAUCUGGGACAACACUGACGCUGAGGCACGAAAGCGUGGGGAGCAAACAGGAUUAGAUACCCCAGUAGUCCCUGUCUCUUAUAC
This 301-nucleotide ribosomal RNA is filed under the name uncultured bacterium. RNAcentral describes it as "partial 16S ribosomal RNA". It matches the Rfam family "Bacterial small subunit ribosomal RNA", at positions 509 to 807 of the family's 1533-position model. The record is from RNAcentral.